RNAcentral lists this long non-coding RNA (798 nucleotides) under Citrus x clementina. RNAcentral's name for it is "Citrus clementina (C. clementina) long non-coding RNA (CCLE_LNC001679)". The record is from RNAcentral. Lineage: Eukaryota; Viridiplantae; Streptophyta; Magnoliopsida; Sapindales; Rutaceae.
CACCAGACUUGGCGGGCGGCCUCCGUGUGCCAAAAAUAGGCCACGGGCACAGCUGCGCCCAAAAACCAGCCCCCGAAGGUCGGGGUCCCAAGACCCCCCAGCGGAAAAAUGGCCAAAAAACGGGUGGGCUAUAGCCUUGGUGGGUGGCGUGGGCGUAGUUCGUCCGCGGGACUCGGAAUGGCCCCAGACUUGGCGGGCGGCCUCCGUGUGCCAAAAAUAGGCCACGGGCACAGCCGCGCCCAAAAACCAGCUCCCGAAGGUCGGGGUCCCAAGACCCCCCAGCGGAAAAAUGGCCAAAAAACGGGUGGGCUAUAGCCUUGGUGGGGGGCGUGGGCGAAGUUCGUCCGCGGGACUCGGAAUGGCACCAGACUUGGCGGGCGGCCUCCUGUGCCUAAAAUAUAGGCCACGGGCACAGCCGCGCCCAAAAAACAGCCCCCGAAGGUCGGGGUCCCAAGACCCCCCAGCGGAAAAAUGGCCAAAAAACGGGUGGGCUAUAGCCUUGGUGAGGGGCGUGGGCGAAGUUCGUCCGCGGGACUCGGAAUGGCACCAGACUUGGCGGGCGGCCUCCGUGUGCCAAAAAUAGGCCACGGGCACAGCCGCGCCAAAAAGCAGCCCCCGAAGGUCGGGGUCCCAAGACCCCCCAGCGGAAAAAUGGCCAAAAAUCGGGUGGGCUAUAGCCUUGGUGGGGGGUGUGGGCGAAGUUCGUCCGCGGAACUCGGAAUGGCACCAGACUUGGCGGGCGGCCUCAGUGUGCCAAAAAUAGGCCACGGGCACAGCCGCGCCCAAAAACAAGCCCCC